UUACUGAUCACUGAAAUAGCUCUCUUUUUCCCUUUAUGAGUGGAAAACUGGAAUAAGUUAUAAAUUUCAUACCAUGUUAAGAUUAUUAAUCCUGAGACCAGCCAGCAAUGAUCUGUAUGUUGAUAACUCAUGAAGACAGUUUUUUUUUUUUUUUGGGGGUGGGGGGGGUGGGUUUGGGGUUUGUAAAUCAUGAAGAUAGUCCUACUGUUACAGAAAACGAAGGGAUUUACACCCUUUUUGAUGAAAGCAUUUUUACAUAUUGAUAAGAAGACCUGUUUUAAUCUGUUAAAACCCAUCUUUAUUCACUAACCUCUGAUCUGUUUUUAUA
Telopea speciosissima is the source of this 328-nucleotide long non-coding RNA. RefSeq lists it as uncharacterized. The record is from RefSeq and is a predicted model, not a curated record. The transcript is spliced from 2 exons. Lineage: Eukaryota; Viridiplantae; Streptophyta; Magnoliopsida; Proteales; Proteaceae.